AACAUCGCGCACCUGCGGGAACCUGCGGAGGGAUCAUUAUCGAGUGUCAACCCCCCCGUAAAAAAGGGGGGUUACCCUCCCGUCCUUUGCUUGGGUACCCUCUUUCCAUUGGAAGGGGGUUGCCUUUCAAGGCCCUUCUGCUUCGGCGGGGUUACCCGCCGGAACAACCUCAAAUUCUUUGUCAAAUGGUUCCGUCCGAGAAAACUUUUGAAAAAGCGAAAAACUUUUAGCAAUGGAUCU
RNAcentral lists this unclassified non-coding RNA (240 nucleotides) under soil metagenome. RNAcentral describes it as "partial contains 5.8S ribosomal RNA, internal transcribed spacer 2, and large subunit ribosomal RNA". The record is from RNAcentral.